Long non-coding RNA from Nicotiana attenuata, 1204 nucleotides. RefSeq lists it as uncharacterized. The transcript is spliced from 2 exons. The record is from RefSeq and is a predicted model, not a curated record. Lineage: Eukaryota; Viridiplantae; Streptophyta; Magnoliopsida; Solanales; Solanaceae.
AAUAAAUUAAUCUCAAACCAAAUUCUCAAAUCUCUUUACGUGAACAACCCAGUUUUGUCGUCGACAUCCCUUGCUCCUCUCUUUGAUAUUUUAUUUAUUCUAUUCUUAAUCCUUCUCAUUUACCAUCUUUUUCCAUUUUUAUUUUAUUUCCUUAAUUCAUCUCCUCUGUUAAGCUCCCUAUGAAACCGUAACUUUCCUCAAUUUCGGGCUCAGACUAUCGUUUUAUUUUGGUCAAGAUUGCUACGUAUAUCUCAGAGUGAUUGUUCAUUUGGAAAGAAUACCAUGAAGAUUUGAAUAAAUUGUUUUGAAUGAAUCUGGACAAGUUAUGAGGUAUUUUAGCCUCUCUCACUUGGUCGUUCAAUCUUGAACUGCAAAUGGCAAAACCUUUGUUCCGCUUUAGGGUCUGUUAAAUUGAUUUUCCGGAAUCAAAAAACUAGACAACCCUUUAACACCAUUUUUUCCAGAAUCAAAACUCUCGUCCCUUUCCUUUGCUAAUAUUUUUCCGACUUGCAAAACAAAAUCAAUUACUACUAUUUUUUCCAUAUCUGCUUUAUACUUUAUUCACUCGUGUUUCUCAAUUGCUGGUCUUUUCCAUCGCUCUAGCUUUCUUGUUUUUUUUUUGCGAUUUGUUGGCUGGAAGUCAAAGUAGUGUUUGAUUGAAAUGCAUGCCACGUUAAUUACCAGAAGCUGAGUCCAUGCAUGGUUCCCAAUAUUGUGAAGUUCUUCGAAAGUUUGUCACUGGACAUUUCACAUAGAUGUAGUUUCGAAGUGCCAUAGCAUGAUGCUUCAUAAGAAUCAGGUACCAGCCAUUCAAAUGCUACGUUCAAGAAUUAUAAGCUCUCAAGUACAGAUAUGUGUUGUUCAUCAUAAACGAAUCUGCAAAGGUUUCUGCUGUCUUGAGGGCACUCUCUCCUUUGGAGAAUUGCAGUUCUACUCAGGUGCAAGAACUGAUCUGUAGGAACAGUCUUUAUUCGAUCACCACUGUGUUAUUAUAAGCAGGUGUGCUGAAUCAAAUCGAUCCAGCACUGCAAGAAUCAAAUCGAUCCAGCACUACUCCAUUGGUCUCCAAUUAAAUGUAGCUGAUAUUAUUCUUUGAUGUGUAGAUUGUACCUUUGAUGCUGGUUUUUGGAGAUUUAUUGUACAAAAAUUUAAAUCCACCAUUAACGGACCUUGAAGUUUGAAACUCAUAACUUGGUUUGUUUGA